Molecule: long non-coding RNA, 134 nt
Organism: Diceros bicornis minor
Lineage: Eukaryota; Metazoa; Chordata; Mammalia; Perissodactyla; Rhinocerotidae
Exons: 3
Source: RefSeq, a predicted model, not a curated record
GCCUAGGAGAGGGCCAGGGUGGUGGAGCUCUGGAUCCAGGUGGCCAAGGAAGAACUGGACAAAACUUAAAAAGUUGAUGAAAACAAGCCAGCGGGAGAGCAGGAAGCUGCUCAAGGAGGAGGUGAAGAGCUGGC